Molecule: long non-coding RNA, 1388 nt
Filed under: Homo sapiens (human)
Lineage: Eukaryota; Metazoa; Chordata; Mammalia; Primates; Hominidae
Description: HSALNT0346805
Source: RNAcentral
ACAGGAGGAGCCUGCAGCGGAGGAGCCUCCUCCUCCUCAGCAUCAGACCUAAAGGGAGUGUCCUGCCUGAAGGACCGGCUCAAGGUCGCACUAACAGCUCUUGCUAACUCCUGUUCCAGGCUGUUUAUCUGGGCCUCCAAGUACCCUGCUUGCGCCUGGAGGUCUCUCACCCCCAGGUCCUGCUCAAAGCUGUGCACUUGGGCCCCCAGGCAUGCGGCUUGCUCCGGAAGGUCCCUUACCUGUGGCACUGAGCAUGUACUUCCUGCAGUGCAGUUAGAAAUGCCCAUCCGACUCUGCUUGCAAAGUUCCUUUAUUUAUAGGCACAGCUGCUUAAAGACUGUUACCGGAAAGGAAUCCUGAUCCAGACGCCAAGAGAGGGUUCUUGGACUCAUGCAAGAAAGACUUCAGCUGGCUGCAGAUGACAGUGACACCCUGGGAGUUGAGAAAUGCUUGUAAGAUGGAAGGAGGCUGUGUCCCUGAAUGAUCACCUGGAAGAGAGCCACCUUAGCCAAUGAAACUCCUGCUAUGAAUGUUUGCUGAGCAAGAAAUAUACUUACUGCUUUAUAUGCCUUUGAAGCUAUAGGUUCAUAUUGUUACCACAAUUUAAAGUGCUAUAAUAAAAAGAGUUCAGGAAGCAGGCACAUGGAAGCAAUAAGAGCAACAAACAUUUACACAGUUCUCAGGUCCCUGGACCAUGAAGGGCCACAUCCAAGGAGCUACCCCAGGAGGCCUCUCAUUUGCAUUUGUCCCCGCUAAUGCAGGACAGAGAUCAUGGAAGUUGGGCCCGACUGGAUGAGAUUUGGGGGUCUUUGGAAGUGGAGAAUGUGUUUGCCCUGGGGAAGAGAGGUGAUGUCUAGGAGACCUCUUCACUCAGGGCAAGCUCUAUGACCUGCUUUGACUCCAGAAUGUGGUAGAAGUGGCAUCACAUAAAUUGCAGAGCCUAGGCUUCAAGAGACCUUGCAACUUGCCUCUCACUGACUUGAAGUGCUCCCAUCAGAGCAUCUUGUAAGGAGCAGGUGGAGCAUGUGGACAAGCCAUCCCCACCAGCCCCUGAGACAUGUGAGAGAGGCCAGAACAGGCCAUCCGGACCCCACUGUGCUGGUGGAUGAGACAGCAGAAGGAAUAUCAACCUACCAACAGAAUCCUGAGAAAUGCUCACUCUUACUUCAAGCUGCUGCAUUUUGAUGUUAUGAAACCAUAAAUAACUUAUGAAGUCAUCUUUGCUGACUUAAAGUUUUCCAUAACUUUAUUAUAACAUAUCAAAAUUAUGAAAAAUGUGAAAAGUAGAAAACUGAUGAAUUUUGCUUCUUCAUAUGGUCUUUAAGAAUCUCAAAGGCACUGAAGUUUUUUAUCUUUUCUGUCUUAGAAUAAAAAACCUUGAAUGAAAA